RNAcentral lists this ribosomal RNA (774 nucleotides) under uncultured Neocallimastigales. RNAcentral describes it as "partial large subunit ribosomal RNA". It matches the Rfam family "Eukaryotic large subunit ribosomal RNA", at positions 24 to 616 of the family's 3401-position model. The record is from RNAcentral. Lineage: Eukaryota; Fungi; Neocallimastigomycota; Neocallimastigomycetes; Neocallimastigales.
UACGACUACAUAUCAGGCAUAUCAAUAAGCGGAGGAAAAGAAACUAACAAGGAUUCCCUUAGUAACGGCGAGUGAAGCGGGAAGAGCUCAAAUUUGAAAUCUUCAAGGUUGUACCUUGACGAAUUGUAGUUUAAAGAAGUGUUUUCUGUUGAAGUUUUGGUAAAAGUUCUUUGGAAUAGGACAUCAUAGAGGGUGAGAAUCCCGUAUUUGACCAUUAUUUCCAGCUUUGUGAUACACUUUCAAAGAGUCGGAUUGUUUGGGAAUGCAGUCCAAAAUGGGUGGUAAAUUUCAUCUAAAACUAAAUAUUGGCGAGAGACCGAUAGCGAACAAGUACCGUGAGGGAAAGAUGAAAAGAACUUUGAAAAGAGAGUUAAACAGUACGUGAAAUUGUCAAAAGGGAAGCGUUUGACACCAGUGUUGUUUUUCUCGAAAAUCAAUUACAAAUGGCUGGAUUCUGUGUUGUAUUGCCUUAUCAGCUUUCUGCACUUUUUCUAGUCUUUCUUAAUGCACUUUUCGUUUAACAAGUCAACAUCAAUUUCUUUUGUUGUAAAAGGAGUAUUCGGAAGGUGGCUUUCUUUUCGGAGAAAGUGUUUAUAGCCCUAUACUUCUACAAUCGGAGAGAUUGAGGUCUGCAGCGUAGAUCCUUCGGGGUUAGAUACAUUUGUGCUAAGUUAUAGCCUUUCAUAGACAACUUGUUGACUAUGAUUAGUCAUGCAGCUUACUCGCUUAUGCUAUUUUACCUACGCUUAGGAUGUUGAGCGCAUGUCUCUCUCU